AUGAAAACAGAAAAAAAGGAAGAAAGAGUGAAGAACGCGAUUCACCAUCUUCAUCUCCCUCCUUCUCCUUCGACUGGUUCAAGGCACGAGAACCAAGAAAACAAAACUCAACACCUCCAUCUCCUCCCUUCUUCUUCAUCUGAAUUGAACACUCAAACCAAGAUUUUGCAACACCUUCCUUCAUCUCCCUCCUUUUCCUUCGUCUGGUUCAAAGCACUCAAACCAAGAAUUUCAACACAACUCACUCAACCACCAUUACAUUUUCUGCCAAAACCUCUUCUAUUAAUACUGAACUCUCUCACCAAAUUACUUAAGCAAAACAACUCAAAAGACUCCAAUUUCGUAGACGAGGAAUACCAGGAGUGCUAAUACGUUCGUGAACUUAACUUUUGGGCACGCGUCACGAGGUGGGUGAUCGAUCGGGGGAACAAAAGGGAGAUCAUUUAGAGUUGUCAUCCACUUAGCAUAUAAUUAUCUUUCGCUGGAACUCUGAAACACUUAAUUAAUUAGCAAUGUUUAAUGAACGAUUCACUUGGUUGUAAGGAUCAAUGAAUUUGAGUUUAGUUUGUUUUUAACUUAGCCUUGCAUUUAUUUCCAAGGAGAUAAGUGCGGCGGUAGCGCCACCCGUCGAGUCGAACCCUCGUGGA
Long non-coding RNA from Beta vulgaris subsp. vulgaris (sugar beet), 647 nucleotides. RefSeq lists it as uncharacterized. The record is from RefSeq and is a predicted model, not a curated record. The transcript is spliced from 3 exons. NCBI's taxonomy places the organism in Eukaryota, Viridiplantae, Streptophyta, Magnoliopsida, Caryophyllales, Amaranthaceae.